Molecule: small nuclear RNA, 292 nt
Filed under: Dasypus novemcinctus (nine-banded armadillo)
Lineage: Eukaryota; Metazoa; Chordata; Mammalia; Cingulata; Dasypodidae
Description: 7SK RNA (ENSDNOG00000040938.1)
Rfam family: 7SK RNA
About the family: 7SK was discovered as an abundant small nuclear RNA in the mid-70s but a possible function has only recently been suggested. Two independent studies have found that 7SK RNA binds the CDK9/cyclin T complex (known as elongation factor P-TEFb).
Source: RNAcentral
GGAUGUGAGAGCAAUCUGGCUGUGACAUCUGUCACCCCAUUGAUCGCCAGGGUUGAUUCGGCUGAUCUGGCUGGCUAGGCGGGUGUCCCCUUCCUCCCUCACUGCUCCAUGUGUGUCCCUCCCAAAGCUGUACGCUUGGUCAAAGAGGAUGACCUUCCCCGCUAGAGGAGGACAGUUCUUUGGUCAAGGGUAUGCGAGUAGCUGCGCUCCCUUGCUAGAACCUCCAAACAAGCUCUCAAGAAAAGAAUGAAAAGGGCAGACUAUGCAAUGAUUUCUCAAUUUGAAACUAUUG